CAAGUCUAAGUUCUCUCCAGGUCACUGGGCAAAGUGAUUCCAAAGUCCUAUACAUUCUUUUGUAUUAAAGGCAUGAGUCUCGGUGUCAGGACUUAGAACUAACAAUAGUCAUAGAGUAUAACUCAGCUUUCAGGGUCUCUGAUGACUUUUAGGUCUGUCUCUGGAGAACCAUAGCCAUUAGCUAGGGAAUUGUUUCCCUAGCUCUCUUAAGAGUCCCUCUGUUAGAUCUCUAAUUUGACUCAUCAGUGGAACUUGACCAGAGUUUGGAGGCUAAAGUGAAGGUCCAAUGUUCCCUUCAAACUGAAAGUCUUAUUUAACAAUUUGUGAGAACUUCCUAAGAGUGCUCUGUGGCCUCCACCAGCACUUUCUGAGGCUCACAGGCUAAGUGUCCCAUUGGAUCCUCACACUCUUGCAGUUGAUCCAUUUGCAAAGUCCAAGGGUGGCCCAAAUCUCUCACACCUCCUAAAAGUGUGUAGGAUCUACAGCAUUUGUAGGAUCUACAGCAUUAUAUUGAUCACUUUGCUCACUGUACCAGUUUCUCAGAGAGCUAGAGAGCUGCCGGUUGUCGUUGGCCAAUUAAGAUAACAAACUAAACAAAGUAAAAUUCUGCCUUUUUUCACUUACUCUGAUAGUAUAAGCAAGAAUCUAAACAGAAGAGGGCUGAAGCUCUACCAGUCUUCCAUUUUCCCCACAGAACAGCACUAGGCAAGGGUCAGGUGUAUCAUUAUAGACAGGAGAGAGUGGGGGCAACAUCUCACUGCCCCAAACAAAAGGCUUCUGCUGUUUUAAGGACACUGGGCCCAGGGGAAGGAUGAGGAGGCAGAGUUUGGAGCAGAUAAGUACUUUACACCGAAUCAGACUGAGAACAGUGUCUUCCAGAUCUAUCUUUAAGGUGGUGUAGGUAGAGGCAUCUGAAUAGUACAGGUUCAGUACAUCUGAACCUCUGAAUGGAGGUUCCUAGGCCAGAAUGCAGAUAAAUGUAAGAUCAUGGUCAUCUAGAAGUGGAGGUUAAGGGUCAGCCUGACUGCAGCUACUUCUAGUGCCUGCAGUGUAUACAUCAAGUCAGUGUGGGGUUGGAAGCUUUUCCCUAUAAGAACUGCCAGGUAGGUUUGUAAUUGCUUAUGGGGCUGAAAGAUCAUAUACAGGGUUUUGACUUGCAGUUGGAACCUCAGUGUAUGUAUACACACACACACACACACACACACACACACGCACGCACACAUUCAUACGUACCUAUACCUACAUACACAUAAAAGUGAACAUAUAUAUGCAUAUACACAUACAUAGGCAUAUUUAGAAAUUAUGAGUUCUUACAGGCACCUUCAAUUCCAGUUAAUACCCCUAGGGCUUGUUUUUGCCUGCCUUCAUUUUAUAUGUGGAUGUCCUUCCACAGUGAGAAUCCUGACUUUGAGUAACAUCAACACAUUUAUAUAUUCACUCCAUCCUAUAAUGCUUCUAAAAUUGUUUCAGUCACUUAGCUGAUACUAGGGAAAAAACCUACUAAAUUUUUUGUGAUUUUUUUUUUUUUUGCAUCCCACUCUACCAAGUCUUUUACAGAAAAGGUUUCUUUUUUGUGUGUGUGGUACGCGGGCCUCUCACUGUUGUGGCCUCUCCCGUUGCGGAGCGCAGGCUCCGGACGCGCAGGCUCAGUGGCCAUGGCUCACGGGCCUAGAUGCUCUGCAGCACGUGGGAUCCUCCCGGACUGGGGCACGAACCCGUGUCCCCUGCAUUGGCAGGCAGACUCUCAACCACUGCACCACCAGGGAAGCCCUAGAUAUUCUUUAUUUCAGUUUUUUUUUCAUUUAUUGUUGCCUCCUAGAAAUCCCUCCAAUUCGUUUUAUAGAGACCUUUUGCAUUUCUUUUACAGUAGUAGGUACACUUGUUAUACUACAGCAUAUACCAUAAUUUAUACUUCACCGUAGUUUAUAAUAUAUACUUUAAUUUAUUCACCCAAUCUUCUAUGCUUAUAUAUUUUGUUGCUUUUAGCUAUUUUGCAAUUACACAUAAUACUGUAAUGAAAAACUUGUACUUACACAUUUUCUUUUUUUUUUUUAAGAAGUCAACAUAGGUUUGUGUUUUUUUUAACAUCAUUAUUGGAGUAUAAUUGCUUUGCAAUGGUGUGUUAGUUUCUGCUUUAUAACAAAGUGAAUCAGCUAUACAUAUACAUAUAUCCCCAUAUCUCCUCCCUCUUGUGUCUCCCUCCCACCCUCCCUAUCCCACCCCUCUAGGUGGUCACAAAGCACCAAGCUGAUCUCCCUGUGCUGUGCGGCUGCUUCCCACUAGCUAUCUAUUUUACAUGUGGUAGUAGGUACACGUUUUCAUUGUUUGGCCUAUAAAUAUGUAUUUACCUAAAGUAUAAAUAACACAAGAAAACUAGAAACUAAUAUAAAACAUAUUUGAUGCCUAGGAAUGUUUAUGAAACACUGAGACCGUUUCAACAUACAUCUAUCAAAAAUGAUCUCGCAAUUUUCAUGUGGAUCUAGCAUUGUGGCAAUUUACUUAAAACUUUAUAAAAAUGAGAGAAGAUGCUGCUGCAUAAUUAUUAUAAAUUUGAAAUUAGAGAUUUCACAAUAAAUCUAUUUUCCCAUUUAAGUGGAGUGAAUGUAUCUCUUUUUGAAGCUCAUGAUAAAGUACCAGAUAAGAAGCUUAUGCGUGAGAAUCAAGAUUCAGUGUCAAAAAUCCAACAGC
RNAcentral lists this long non-coding RNA (2688 nucleotides) under Phocoena sinus (vaquita). RNAcentral describes it as "lncRNA (ENSPSNG00000009374.1)". The record is from RNAcentral. Lineage: Eukaryota; Metazoa; Chordata; Mammalia; Artiodactyla; Phocoenidae.